This 88-nucleotide transfer RNA is filed under the name Luminiphilus syltensis NOR5-1B. Its description in RNAcentral is "tRNA-Ser". It matches the Rfam family "tRNA". From Rfam's summary of the family: Transfer RNA (tRNA) molecules are approximately 80 nucleotides in length. Their secondary structure includes four short double-helical elements and three loops (D, anti-codon, and T loops). Further hydrogen bonds mediate the characteristic L-shaped molecular structure. tRNAs have two regions of fundamental functional importance: the anti-codon, which is responsible for specific mRNA codon recognition, and the 3' end, to which the tRNAs corresponding amino acid is attached (by aminoacyl-tRNA synthetases). tRNAs cope with the degeneracy of the genetic code in two manners: having more than one tRNA (with a specific anti-codon) for a particular amino acid; and 'wobble' base-pairing, i.e. permitting non-standard base-pairing at the 3rd anti-codon position. The record is from RNAcentral. RNAcentral also lists the same sequence under 9 other names. Lineage: Bacteria; Pseudomonadati; Pseudomonadota; Gammaproteobacteria; Cellvibrionales; Halieaceae.
GGAGAGGUGGCCGAGUGGUCGAAGGCGCACGCCUGGAAAGUGUGUAUACGGCAACGUAUCGAGGGUUCGAAUCCCUCCUUCUCCGCCA